RNAcentral lists this ribosomal RNA (406 nucleotides) under uncultured bacterium. Its description in RNAcentral is "partial 16S ribosomal RNA". It matches the Rfam family "Bacterial small subunit ribosomal RNA", at positions 30 to 526 of the family's 1533-position model. The record is from RNAcentral.
AUUGAACGCUGGCGGCAGGCCUAACACAUGCAAGUCGAACGAGUGGCGGACGGGUGAGUAAUGUCUGGGAAUCUGCCUUAUGGAGGGGGAUAACUACUGGAAACUGUAGCUAAUACCGCCUACCAUCGGAUGUGCCCAGGUGGGAUUAGCUAGUAGGUGGGGUAAAGGCUCACCUAGGCGACGAUCCCUCGCUGGUCUGAGAGGAUGACCAGCCACACGGGAACUGAGACACGGUCCAGACUCCUACGGGAGGCAGCAGUGGGGAAGAGUGCGCAAUGGGCGCAAGCCUGAUGCAGCCAUGCAGCGUGAAUGAAGAAGGCCUUCGGGUUGUAAAGUACUUUCGGCGGGGAGGCGUUACCCGCAGAAGAAGCACCGGCUAACUCCGUGCCAGCAGCCGCGGUAAUUC